This 94-nucleotide ribosomal RNA is filed under the name Acanthosepion pharaonis. Lineage: Eukaryota; Metazoa; Mollusca; Cephalopoda; Sepiida; Sepiidae. The record is from RNAcentral.
UUGAAAUACCAGUUCCCAUAUAAUCACCAAAGUUAAGCAAUGUCGAACCUGGUCAGUACCUAGAUGGGUAACCACUUGGAAAUACCUGGUGCAG